RNAcentral lists this ribosomal RNA (253 nucleotides) under uncultured bacterium. Its description in RNAcentral is "partial 16S ribosomal RNA". It matches the Rfam family "Bacterial small subunit ribosomal RNA", at positions 524 to 776 of the family's 1533-position model. The record is from RNAcentral.
UACGUAGGGGGCUAGCGUUGUCCGGAAUCAUUGGGCGUAAAGAGCGUGUAGGCGGCCCGAUUAGUCCGCUGUGAAGGUCCAGGGCUCAACCCUGGAAUGCCGGUGGAUACUGUCGGGCUAGAGUCCGGAAGGGGCGAGUGGAAUUCCUGGUGUAGCGGUGAAAUGCGCAGAUAUCAGGAGGAACACCAAUGGCGAAGGCAGCUCGCUGGGACGUGACUGACGCUGAGACGCGAAAGCGUGGGGAGCAAACAGG